Molecule: long non-coding RNA, 688 nt
Filed under: Pan paniscus (pygmy chimpanzee)
Lineage: Eukaryota; Metazoa; Chordata; Mammalia; Primates; Hominidae
Description: lncRNA (ENSPPAG00000045318.1)
Source: RNAcentral
UUUGAAUUGCAAUGUGGUGUAUCCAAUCCAUAGAGUAAAGAAAACUGAACCAGUAUCAUUAAAGCUUGACGUGUUGAAAUAAGUGGCCUGGGACUGGCUUCCACGGUGAUAAGAGAUUCAUCUGGUAGCACCAGAGUAAAAGAAGUCUCACUAAACACUGGCCGGGCAGCUGCUGCUCGGUGUGAGCAUCCCGGGGAUGCAAGGGUGGGGGAGCUCACUCGGGUACACAGCCCCCUGCAACAACAGCAGAGGCGCAGGACCCAUUGGGAAGAGAGAAGAGUCGCUGAGCCUGAAUGUGCUGGUGCAACACCUGGGGUCUUGUCGCCUGAAGUUUCCAGGGCAGGAGGCCUGGGAGGAGCCUGAGGUUCUGAUCCCAGCACAGGCUCCCAGAGAAUAAAGAAGCUGCCCAAGAAAUGAUUAAUUGACAAAGGAAGACUUCUAAGAAGAGAUGAGACUACCACGACAUGGCAUAAUUAAAUGACAUACUCAAGGAGACACAGCAAACACAUGCGUGAGACAGCAUGAGCCCAAAGUUCAUGCUUUUCCUCACAGCAUGGCACCACCUGACACCUCCAAGGAGGAAUAUUCCUGAGCAAAGUCCAGGAUGCAGUCUGUUUAGAGAAAAUAAAGAAUGCCAAAUAUUUAAUUCUGGCCCUUAGAGAAUCCAAAUAGAAACACUUAAGUAACC